CGGCGGCCGUAACUAUAACGGUCCUAAGGUAGCGAAAUUCCUUGUCAGGUAAAUUCUGACCCGCACGAAUGGCGUAACGAAUUGGGCGCUGUCUCAACGAGAGAUCCGGUGAAAUUUUAAUACCUGUGAAGAUGCAGGUUACCCGCGACAAGACGGAAAGACCCCAUGGAGCUUUACUGCAGCUUGAUAUUGGACUUUGGUACGAUCUGUACAGGAUAGGUGGGAGCCUUUGAAGCCGGAGCGCCAGCUUCGGUGGAGGCGCCGUUGGGAUACCACCCUGAUCGUAUCGGAGUUCUAACCUGGUACCGUGAAUCCGGUACGGGGACCGUGUCAGGCGGGCAGUUUGACUGGGGCGGUCGCCUCCUAAAAUGUAACGGAGGCGCCCAAAGGUUCCCUCAGAAUGGUUGGAAAUCAUUCGAAGAGUGCAAAGGCAUAAGGGAGCUUGACUGCGAGACCUACAAGUCGAGCAGGGACGAAAGUCGGGCUUAGUGAUCCGGUGGUACCGAAUGGAAGGGCCAUCGCUCAACGGAUAAAAGCUACCCUGGGGAUAACAGGCUUAUCUCCCCCAAGAGUCCACAUCGACGGGGAGGUUUGGCACCUCGAUGUCGGCUCAUCGCAUCCUGGGGCUGAAGUAGGUCCCAAGGGUUGGGCUGUUCGCCCAUUAAAGCGGUACGCGAGCUGGGUUCAGAACGUCGUGAGACAGUUCGGUCCCUAUCUGUCGCGGGCGUAGGAAAUUUGAGAGGAGCUGUCCUUAGUACGAGAGGACCGGGAUGGACGUACCGCUGGUGUACCAGUUGUUCCGCCAGGAGCACCGCUGGGUAGCCAAGUACGGACGGGAUAAGCGCUGAAAGCAUCUAAGCGUGAAGCCCCCCUCAAGAUGAGAUUUCCCAGUAUGUAAGACCCCUUGAAGACGACGAGGUUGAUAGGUUCGGGGUGGAAGCACAGCAAUGUGUGGAGCUGACGAAUACUAAUCGGUCGAGGGCUUAUCCUA
This 991-nucleotide ribosomal RNA is filed under the name Paenibacillus agaridevorans. Its description in RNAcentral is "bacterial LSU rRNA". It matches the Rfam family "Bacterial large subunit ribosomal RNA", at positions 1928 to 2925 of the family's 2925-position model. The record is from RNAcentral. Lineage: Bacteria; Bacillati; Bacillota; Bacilli; Caryophanales; Paenibacillaceae.